GCUUAUAGCCAUUACACCCUUAGCACGCCCAAUCGCGUCUGAUCUCGGAAGCUAAGCAGGGUUGGGCUUGGUUAGUAUUUGGAUGGGAGAUCUCCUGGGACUACCAGGUGCUGGAAGCU
This is a ribosomal RNA of Astatotilapia calliptera (eastern happy), 119 nucleotides long. The record is from Ensembl. Lineage: Eukaryota; Metazoa; Chordata; Actinopteri; Cichliformes; Cichlidae.